GCAACGCGACACGUCUGCGCCCGCGACACGCGGCCGCACGGGGGCCCCCGCGCACGUGACACCCCCGCGGCACACGGCCGCACACGCCUGCACACGGACGCACACGCCUGCACACGGGUGCACGUGCCUGCGGAUGCAUGUGUGCACAUGCAUGCACACCAGCACAUGCCUGCACACAGCCACACGUGCUGUGCAUACCGCUGCGCACACGUGUGCACACGCAUGCAGACAGCCGCACACGCAUGCACACAGCUGCAUGCACAUGUGCACGCACAUGCAGAGCCACGCACAUGCGUGCAAAGAGCCACUCACGCGUGCACACACACGUGCACACACGCAUGCACUCGGCUGCUUGAACAUGCACACGGCUGCACACGCACGCACAGAGCCACACACACGCAUGCAGAGCUACGCACACUCGCACGCACACAGCCGCUCAUGCCUGCACACAGCUGCACACGCAUGCACACAUGUGCGCACACACACAGCGACAGAAACACGCAGGUGAAGAGCCACUCACGCAUGCACACAGCCGCUCAUGCACGCAACAGCACACACGUGUACGCAGCCACACGCACGCAGCCAAAGAGCCACACAGACGUGCACACAGCUGCUUGUGCGUGCAGACGGCCACACACGCAUGCAGACAGCUGCACACGUAUGCACACACACACGCACAGACAGAAACACGCAUGCAAAGAGCCACUCACGCAUGCACACACGGAUGCACGCAGCAGCACGCGCAUGCACACAGCCACGCACGCGUGCACGCAUGCAUGCAGACACGCAUGCACACAGCUGCUCGUGCAUGCACGCAGCUGCUCGCACACGCAUGCACACGCAUGCACAUGCACGCACACGCAUGCACACAGCUGCUUGUGCAUGCACGCAGCUGCGCACGCAUGUGCACGCACACACACAGAGACAGAAACACGCAUGCAAAGAGCCACUCACGCAUGCACACAGCCGCUCGCACACGCACGCACACGCGUGUGCCCCCGCUCCGCUCCCGCCCCUCCCGCCGCCGCCGCC
This 1032-nucleotide long non-coding RNA is filed under the name Apteryx rowi (Okarito brown kiwi). Its description in RNAcentral is "lncRNA (ENSARWG00000010297.1)". The record is from RNAcentral. Lineage: Eukaryota; Metazoa; Chordata; Aves; Apterygiformes; Apterygidae.